GAAAAUAGGGUUCUCCAGGUCGAAUGCAUAAAAGAUGAUAAAGCCAGAACAAAUAAGUGUCAUAAGAAGGAGAAAGUCGCUUAUGUUGAGGCAUCCAAUUAUUUGUCUGACAUAGGCGACAAGUGUGUCGAAGAGAGCGAGGUAGACAUGGCUGAACUUAAGCUAGGACCUCCCUAUGUAUGCAAGUUGAUGAGCCGUCGAAUGGAAAAAAUCUUGUCGAGCCCAACAAGAAUGAAAAAUAUGUCGCUAAAACUUAU
Molecule: long non-coding RNA, 257 nt
Filed under: Lathyrus oleraceus (garden pea)
Lineage: Eukaryota; Viridiplantae; Streptophyta; Magnoliopsida; Fabales; Fabaceae
Description: Pisum sativum (pea) long non-coding RNA (PSAT_LNC012246)
Source: RNAcentral